Molecule: non-coding RNA, 1553 nt
Organism: Phoenix dactylifera (date palm)
Lineage: Eukaryota; Viridiplantae; Streptophyta; Magnoliopsida; Arecales; Arecaceae
Source: RefSeq, a predicted model, not a curated record
UAAAGGGGGAGAGAGAGGGAGGGCAGGGGAAGAGAAAGGAGCGCUUAGAGGGGCGUCUCACGCGAGGGAAACUCGGGUCAAACAACGGCCCACCCUUUCCUCAUCGCGCGGUCCCCAAAAGAGGAGGAGAAGAGAACACAACCAACCCCUCCUCUCUUCCCCAAAUCCUCCACCAGGGAGAGAAAAGGAGAGCCAAAGAGAGAUCGAGAUGGAGGCGGCGAUGGAUCUGAUGCGGAGGAUCUCGCCGAACCAGAGCGAGACGGCGUUGUCGGCCCUGCUGUCCCUCCUCCCCCACCACUCCGCCGACCUCCUCUCCCAAGUCGACCAGCCCCUCCAGGUUUGUAUGGAUACUGAGUCGAUGAAGGAGUUCAUACUGUGUGAAUACAACAGGGACGCUGAUUCGUAUAGAUCGCCUUGGUCAAACAAAUAUCGCCCACCUUUGGAAGAUGGGCCACUACCAUCAGAUGAACUGAGGAAACUUGAAAUUGAAGCAAAUGAGAUUUUUGCUGUUUAUCGUGAUCAGUAUUAUGAAGGGGGUGUCUCAUCGGUGUACAUGUGGGAAGAUGACAAUCAGGGACUUGUGGCAUGUUUCUUAAUAAAGAAAGAUGGAUCAAAAAAAGGGCAUGGGAGAAGGGGACAUUUGCAGGAGGGUUCAUGGGAUGCUAUUCAUGUUAUUGAGGUUGGGCCAGUUGAAGAGGGGAAUGCUCAUUACUGCUUAACCAGUACCGUCAUGCUAUCAUUGACCACAGAACACAAGCCAUUGGGAACUUUCAAUCUGUCAGGAUCAAUCAGAAGACAGAUGAGUUUAGACCUUUCAGUGGCAGAGGGCCACUUGUGUAACAUGGGAAAGAUGAUAGAAGAAAUGGAGGGGAAGCUCAGGAACUCACUGGAUCAGGUCUAUUUUGGGAAGACAAGGGAGAUGGUCUGCACACUGAGGCCACCACCUGAGGGCAUCCAACUGAGAUUGCCUGAAAGUUGACCCAUAAAGUGAAAGGUGCAGCAAUCAUUUGCAUCCAACUAAUCAGUAUUUUGGUGCUGAAGAAAAUUUGGAUACUUGGAGGGACAGUGACACAGUCAUUGCCUUGGGAAAUUUUAUGUUGCAGCCUUGAUGAUUUUAAAACUACACUUCUAGCUUGUCUUGCGAAAAUAUCAGUACUUCAGUAUAGUGAGUUUAUAUUAGACAGUUAAAAGCUGGCUAUUAACACCAUGUUCACCUUCCUCCUUUCUCAUCCUGACUUGAGAUGGAUCAUCGCAGUUAUGUGAAGGACUUUCGACAUAAUAAGGGACAAAAAAUUGGGAUUUCUAGCUCAGACCUAACCUUGUGAGGGGUUCCUGAAGUCACCCCUUUCCUUUCCGCAAAGAAAAAAGAAGGAUAGGCCAGGCCCUCAACUGGUACUUUAACAGUUAUAUCGACACGUGAGAUUUUUGUAGGCCAAGGCUUUUUCAUUGUCUGGCUUAAGGAGAGAAAUACUUUUUGAUCUUUAUUGAUAAAUCUUUUGAUUACCAAAUAUUUGAACGAUUCCUUGAAGAGCAGUUAAUCUCCUUUUUCACUA